Molecule: ribosomal RNA, 383 nt
Filed under: uncultured bacterium
Lineage: Bacteria
Description: bacterial SSU rRNA
Rfam family: Bacterial small subunit ribosomal RNA
Source: RNAcentral
AUUGAACGCUGGCGGCAUGCCUUACACAUGCAAGUCGAACGGCAGCACGGGAGCAAUCCUGGUGGCGAGUGGCGAACGGGUGAGUAAUAUAUCGGAACGUGCCCAGUCGUGGGGAUAACGUAGCGAAAGCUACGCUAAUACCGCAUACGAUCUAUGGAUGAAAGCGGGGGAUCGCAAGACCUCGCGCGAUUGGAGCGGCCGAUAUCAGAUUAGGUAGAUGGUGAGGUAAAGGCUCACCAAGCCGACGAUCUGUAGCUGGUCUGAGAGGACGACCAGCCACACUGGGACUGAGACACGGACCAGACUCCUACGGGAGGCAGCAGUGAGGAAUAUUGGACAAUGGGCGCAAGCCUGAUCCAGCCAUGCCGCGUGUGUGAAGAAGG